Entelurus aequoreus (snake pipefish) is the source of this 4159-nucleotide long non-coding RNA. RefSeq lists it as uncharacterized. The record is from RefSeq and is a predicted model, not a curated record. NCBI's taxonomy places the organism in Eukaryota, Metazoa, Chordata, Actinopteri, Syngnathiformes, Syngnathidae. The transcript is spliced from 6 exons.
CCUCAGAGGAAACUUGGGAAGCUUCAAGGAUUGUUCGUGUCUUCACUCUUCUUAAACAUUGCCUGUGUUUUCCAGCCACAGACCGCCCACGUCCACGUCAAGAGGGAAGCAGCUUCACCCCUGCUGCUUCCUCACCUGCGGGUGAUUAGUGAUGACGUGUCUCACCUGCUGCUAAUGAGCACCUGAGGACUAUUUCAGUUGUCAUGCUCUUUGGACUCUUCUUACUCGCAUGUCCCUGAUGGACCCCUGAUGGACCCCUGAUGGGCCCCCAUGCCAGACUUUGGUCACCUCUGGUCUCUGAUGUCCCGACUCUGCAGUGAAGUCGUGCCAAUUCAGAGCUUCCUUCAAACAUAGCCUCCUUUUUGUUGGCUCAACCGCUGCCGUAUCCUUCUUGGCCUCCCGUAUCCUUCUUGGCCUCCCGUAUCCUUCUUGGCCUCCCGUAUCCUUCUUGGCCUCCCAGCAGAAAGCUUCUCCGAGAUGUUAUCCAACUUGCGAUUCAACUCAGAAAUGGCCCCAAAGUCUGAGUGCCGGCGCUCUGCCCCGCCCCCUCCAUCAGGAAGGGUGGUCCCUCGGCUCCUUGAAUGACUGACAUUAUCUUCCAGAGCAGCGGCCAAUCAAAUGGUGCAGAUUUCAAACAGAAACAUCUUCAAUGCGCCGUUGUGGACACUGUGGGGGUGACUUUGAAGGGGAGCCGGAUGAUGAGCGCUAACGAGGGUCCGGAGCGCCUCCGGGGGAAGACGGCGGGCGGCUCCGAGGGCCCAGCCGGGGCCCAGCCGGGGCCACUAAUGGGACGGGAGGAUGCUCGGCCUAAAUUUGCAUGUGUAAAAAGCCGAGGGCAGCUUUGGAUGAGAAGAAAACAGAGGAGGAGGAAGCGUGAAUAUGAAUAUGAAGGCGUGGAAAACGCUGCCUUCAGGUGCGACGCUAAUUAACAAGAAAGUUUUUGUCUGAAGAGGAGAAGAAGAAGAAGAAGAAGAUCUCAGGGCGAGAGAGAGAGAGAGAGAGCUUACGUUCCAAACUCCCCAAAGAUUGCCUUCAAAGGCGCUUAAACGCAUCACAAGUCAGCAAAUAAUAAUAAUAAUAAGAAGGCCUCAGUGCUGCAGGCCGCAAUGAAGGAAGGAAGGAAGGAAGGAAGGAAAGAAGGAUGCUGCACUAAACACUUCUUUUGCUUUUCUUGCCACUGCAAGCAUCCUAUUCAUUUUCAAUCACCUUUGCUGUUCAACAAUAUGCUUGACAACAGCUUGCAGGAGUCCCUUUGGUUAGUUAAUUAGGGACAAUUUAACACUGUGGCAAACCCACGGCUCGCAGGCCACAUCAUUUUAUAUGGACCAUAACAUCAAUUAAUAUAACCUGCCACAUCAUUUUACAUGGCCCAUAACAUCAUUUUACAUGGCCCAUAACAUCAUUUUAAAUGGCCCAUAACAUCAUUUUAAAUGGCCCAUAACAUGAUUUUACAUGGCCCAUAACAUCAUUUUAUAUGGCCCAUAACAUAAUUUUAUAUUGCCUGCCACAUAAUUUUACAUGGCCCAUAACAUCAUUUUAUAUGGCCCAUAACAUGAUUUUAUAUGGCCCAUAACAUCAUUUUAUAUGGACCAUAACAUCAAUUAAUAUAACCUGCCACAUCAUUUUACAUGGCCCAUAACAUCAUUUUAUAUGGCCCAUAACAUCAUUUUACAUGGCCCAUAACAUCAUUUUAAAUGGCCCAUAACAUAAUUUUAUAUUGCCUGCCACAUAAUUUUAUAUGGCCCAUAACAUCAUUUUAAAUGGCCCAUAACAUAAUUUUAUAUUGCCUGCCACAUAAUUUUAUAUGGCCCAUAACAUCAUUUUAUAUGGACCAUAACAUCAAUUAAUAUAACCUGCCACAUCAUUUUAUAUGGACCGCCACAUCAUUUUAUAUGGCCCGCCACAUUAUUUUAUAUGACCUACCACAUCAUUUUACAUGGCCCAUAACAUAAUUUUAUAUGGCCCAUAACAUCAUUUUGUAUGGCCCAUAACAUCAUUUUGUAUGGCCCAUAACAUCAUUUUAUAGGGCCCGUCACAUCAUUUUAUAUAACCUGCCACAUCAUUCUAUAUGGCCUGCCCCUUCAUUUUAUAUGGACCAUAACAUCAAUUAAUAUAACCUGGCACAUCAUUUUAUAUGGACCGCCACAUCAUUUUAUAUGGCCUGUCACAUCAUUUUAUAUGGCCCAUAACAUCAUUUUAUAUGGCACAUAACAUCAUUUUAUAUGGCCUGCCACAUCAUUUUAUAUGGCCCGCCACAUCAUUUUAUAUGGCCCGCCACAUCAUUUUAUAUGGCCCGCUACAUCAUUUUAUAUGACCUACCACAUAAUUUUAUAUGACCUACCACAUAAUUUUAUAUGGCCAAUAACAUAAUUUUAUAUGGACCGUCACAUCAUUUUAUAUGACCUGCCACAUCAUUUAAAAUGGCCCAUAACAUCAUAUUAUAUGGACCGUCACAUCAUUUUAUAUGGCCCGCAACUUUGUUUUAUAUGACCUGCAACAUCAUUUUAUAUGGCCCGCCACAUCAUUUUAUAUGACCUACCACAUCAUUUUAUAUGGCCAAUAACAUCAUUUUAUAUGGACCGUCACAUCAUUUUAUAUGGCCCAUAACAUCAUUUUAAAUGGCCCAUAACAUCAUUUUAUAUAACCUGCCACAUAAUUUUAUAUGGACCAUAACAUCAUUUUAUAUGGACCGUCGUUUCAUUUUAUAUGGGACAUAACAUCAUUUUAUAUGGACCUACCACAUCAUUUAAAUGGCCCGUCACAUCAUUUUAUAUGGCCCAUAGCAUCAUUUUAUAUGGCCCGCCACAACAUUUUAUAAGGCCCAUAACAUCAUUUUAUAGGGCCCGUCACAUCAUUUUAAAUGGCUUAUAACAUCAUUUUAUAUGGACCAUCACAUCAUUUUACAUGGCCCACCACUUCAUUUUUAAAUGGCCCAUAACAUCAUUUUAUAUGGCCCAUAACCUUAUUUUUUAGGGCCCGUCACAUCAUUUUAUAUAACCUGCCACAUCAUUUUAUAUGGCCCGCCACAUCAUUUUAUAUGGACCAUCACAUCAUUUUAUAUGGACCGUCACAUCAUUUUACAUGGCCCAUUACAUCAUUUUACAUGGCCCGCCACAUCAUUUUAUAUGGCCCAUAACACCUUUUUACAUUGCCCGCCACAUCAUUUUGUAUGGCCCAUAACAUACUUUUAUAUGGACCGUCACAUCAUUUUAUAUGACCUGCCACGUCAUUUUAAAUGGCCCGUCACAUAAUUCUAUAUGGCCCAUAACAUCGUUUUAAAUGGCCUACCACAGCAUCUUAUAUGGCCCAUCACAUCAUUUUAUAUGGCCUACCACAGCAUUUUAUAUGGCCCGUAACAUCAUUUUAUAUGGACCGCCACUUCAUUUUACAUGGCCCAUAAGAUUUUUUUAUAUGGCCCGUCACGCCCGCCAGAUCAUUUUAUAUGUCCUGUCACGCCCGCCACUUCAUUUUAUAAGGUCCGCCACAUCAUUUUAUAUGGCCCGCUAUGUCAUUUUAUUUGGCCCGCCACUUCAUUUUAUUUGGCCCGCCACGCCCAUCACUUCAUUUUACUUGGCCCACCACGCCCACCACUUCAUUUUACUUGGUCCGUCACUUCAUUUUAUAUGGCCUGCCACAUCAUUUGACUUGGUGCGCCACAUCAUUUUAUAUGGCCCGCUAUGUCAUUUUAUUUGGCCCGCCACUUCAUUUUAUUUGGCCCGCCACGCCCAUCACUUCAUUUUACUUGGCCCACCACGCCCACCACUUCAUUUUACUUGGUCCGUCACUUCAUUUUAUAUGGCCCGCCACAUCAUUUGACUUGGUGCGCCACAUCAUUUUAUAUGGCCCGUCACGUAAUUUUACAUGGCCUGCCAUGCCCGCCACUUCCUUUUAUAUGGUCCGCCACAUCGUUUUAUAUGGCCCGUCACAUCAAUUUAAAGGGCCCGCAAAAGUCUGGAAAUAAUAUUUGUCAAUAAAGUACGUGACCUUUUCUUACUAAAUGUUCUUUCCACUUUUAAAGAAAAAACAUGGCCUGCAUAAAUUUGUACAACUUUACUAAACUUCAAUAUUAUCUCAGAUGGCAACUUUUAUUAUAUUAUAAUACAUUUGUGUCUAAUUCAAAUGGAUGCUUACUAUAAAUAUCUGUUAUGUCCAUCUAACU